GCCGGUGUGUUGGAACUGGCAGACGAGACGGACUCAAAAUCCGUUGGUGGCAACACCGUGUGGGUUCGAGCCCCACCACCGGCA
RNAcentral lists this transfer RNA (84 nucleotides) under Lachnospiraceae bacterium. RNAcentral describes it as "tRNA-Leu". It matches the Rfam family "tRNA". From Rfam's summary of the family: Transfer RNA (tRNA) molecules are approximately 80 nucleotides in length. Their secondary structure includes four short double-helical elements and three loops (D, anti-codon, and T loops). The record is from RNAcentral. Lineage: Bacteria; Bacillati; Bacillota; Clostridia; Lachnospirales; Lachnospiraceae.